RNAcentral lists this ribosomal RNA (497 nucleotides) under uncultured bacterium. Its description in RNAcentral is "partial 16S ribosomal RNA". It matches the Rfam family "Bacterial small subunit ribosomal RNA", at positions 28 to 507 of the family's 1533-position model. The record is from RNAcentral.
GAUGAACGCUGGCGGCGUGCCUAAUACAUGCAAGUCGAGCGAACAGACGAGGAGCUUGCUCCUCUGACGUUAGCGGCGGACGGGUGAGUAACACGUGGAUAACCUACCUAUAAGACUGGGAUAACUUCGGGAAACCGGAGCUAAUACCGGAUAAUAUAUUGAACCGCAUGGUUCAAUAGUGAAAGACGGUUUUGCUGUCACUUAUAGAUGGAUCCGCGCCGCAUUAGCUAGUUGGUAAGGUAACGGCUUAGCAAGGCGACGAUGCGUAGCCGACCUGAGAGGGUGAUCGGCCACACUGGAACUGAGACACGGUCCAGGCUCCUACGGGAGGCAGCAGUAGGGAAUCUUACGCAAUGGGCGAAAGCCUGACGGAGCAACGCCGCGUGAGUGAUGAAGGUCUUCGGAUCGUAAAACUCUGUUAUUAGGGAAGAACAAAUGUGUAAGUAACUAUGCACGUCUUGACGGUACCUAAUCAGAAAGCCACGGCUAACUACGUG